RNAcentral lists this ribosomal RNA (927 nucleotides) under Triticum aestivum (bread wheat). Its description in RNAcentral is "partial small subunit ribosomal RNA". The record is from RNAcentral. Lineage: Eukaryota; Viridiplantae; Streptophyta; Magnoliopsida; Poales; Poaceae.
AUGCUCCAGCAGGUAGAAGGAGCUGAGCUCGGCGGCGGGCAGGCCACCGGUGAACUUGUUCCGGCUCAGCACCACCGACGCCACCUUCCUCCCGAGCCGCGGGAACGCCGGGCCGAGCGAGUUGCCGCCGACGUCGAGCACCUGGAGGCUCGCGAGGCCGCGCAUGUCGGGGAGGUUCCCGGAGAGGUUGUUGGAGGCGAGCACGAGCGAGCGCAGCGACGGCGCCCUCCCGAGCGACUCCGGCACGGCGCCGGCCAGCGAGUUGUUCCGCAGGCUGAGCACGGCAAGCGCCGGCAGCGCGGUGCCGACCCAGCCCGGCACCUCGCCGCCGAUCAUGUUGUCGUCGAGGAUGAGCGUCUGCAGGCCCUGGAGCCGCGAGAGGCCCCUCGGGAUGGGCCCGUAGAGGUAGUUGCGGCUCAUGUUGACGAUCUCCAGCCCGGCGAGCCGCUCCAGCUUCCCCGGCAAGGGGCCCCAGAGGCCGAGGCCGGAGAGCGUGAGCACCCUGAGGUCGGGGAGCCUGGACAGCGUGGUGACCAGCGCGCCAAGGGAGAAGUUGAGCGGGAGCGGCGGCGCGCCCUGUGCGGCGCCCUCGACGUGGAGCUGCGUGACGGUGUCCCCGUAGCAGACGACGGAGGCGGAGGGGGCGACGGUGCCGCCGCCGCCGCAGAAGUCGGUGGUGCGGCGCCAGUGCCGGAGCGCCGGCGGCCGGCCCAGCAGGUGCUGCACCUUGAGCAGGGUCCACGUCUGGGAGGCCUGCAGCAGCGGCGCGCCCCCCGGGAGCAGCACGGCCAAGAAAACCAACCCCAGCAAGCAGCCCGGGCCAGCCGCCGCCAUUGCCGGCCAAGAAGACGACGACGAUUCCUUCAGCGACACCGCUCGACCGAUCGAUCGGCAAGAACCGGCGGAGCGAAAAGACGAUCAGAUUAA